UACGGAGGGUGCGAGCGUUGUCCGGAAUCACUGGGCGUAAAGGGCGCGUAGGCGGCGCGGAUAGUCGGCGGUGAAAGCCCGGAGCUCAACUCCGGGUCGGCCGUCGAUACUUCCGGGCUUGAGCACUGUAGAGGCAGAUGGAAUUCCGGGUGUAGCGGUGGAAUGCGUAGAGAUCCGGAAGAACACCGGUGGCGGAAGGCG
Molecule: ribosomal RNA, 201 nt
Filed under: uncultured bacterium
Lineage: Bacteria
Description: partial 16S ribosomal RNA
Rfam family: Bacterial small subunit ribosomal RNA
Source: RNAcentral